CGAAACUCUCAACCCCGCUUCAUGCUUUAUUGCUAGAAGUAGUUUGGGUUUGGAUCAUGAUCUUUGCAAUUGGCCCUGGCUGCCGAAUGCUGGAUUGAAAUACAACAAGCUGAAUCUAUAAACUUGCGGCUUGACCUGUCGUUGUAAGCAGUAAAAUGCAUUCGAUGGGGACGCAAGAGAAUAGAACGAGCUUUCCAAAUUGCUCAAUCACUAUUCGUAACUGAAUUAGUGCA
This 233-nucleotide unclassified non-coding RNA is filed under the name uncultured Agaricostilbomycetes. RNAcentral's name for it is "sequence contains ITS2". Lineage: Eukaryota; Fungi; Basidiomycota. The record is from RNAcentral.